GACAUGUUGACUCAAGUCUUAUCAAACUUAUUAGUUCCGAUUGUAAAGGAGCAAUAAUGCAUUGGCUCUCAAUUGAGCUCAUUAACCAAGACUGUUAAUGAUAUGAGAGGAAUUCUGAUCCAGACCCGUAGAAUUUGUGAAAAUACAAGUACAGUAAAUAAAAUUGAGCUUGAGUUCGAUUUAGAUGGUAUCAAUCUACCAUGUAGAGAUAUAACUGAAUUCACCAUAUUCGAGAGAAAGUUGAGCGACACUCCAAGCUUCCGGGAUAAAAUUGUAUGCAAGCUGGCUUCAAUGGCGAAUACCAGUCAAGCGAUGGUCCACAG
Molecule: unclassified non-coding RNA, 323 nt
Filed under: Athalia rosae (coleseed sawfly)
Lineage: Eukaryota; Metazoa; Arthropoda; Insecta; Hymenoptera; Athaliidae
Description: misc RNA ENSAEAG00005001834.1
Source: RNAcentral